This 553-nucleotide long non-coding RNA is filed under the name Homo sapiens (human). RNAcentral describes it as "HSALNT0392457". Lineage: Eukaryota; Metazoa; Chordata; Mammalia; Primates; Hominidae. The record is from RNAcentral.
CCUAUCUCUGCCUUGGAAAAAAAAUCCUAUUCAUGUAGAAACGAUGUCUUUUCCUGUUAUAAUAGCAUAGACUUUAGGUCCCUCUAUCUUUGCUUUCUUUCAGAAGUGACUCUCCAGGGGAGCUAAAAUCCAUGUAUUUGGGCACACACUUGAACAAUAUUGCUAGAGAAAUUUAAGCAAGAGCACAAAGGCACUACGUUGUCUGGGAUGAUGGAAGGAGCUAAAGUCUUCAGUGAAUGAAGGAGCAGGACCAGGAGCUCAAAAUACUUCUUUGAAGACAAAGAAGAAAUGAUAUUACCAAAUGGUUGGCUCAAAAGAACAGGGAUUUUGCAACAGAGAGAGUAUGUCAUGGUCUUGAACAAGCAAUGAAAGAAUCAUCUGAAAGGAAUGUGGAGAUCAGAGAAAAAUGAUGGGAAAGUUACCACAGCCUGCAAAUGAGAAAUGAUGAGAGCCUGCCUGGGACAAAGAAUCUACAAUAGAUCUUCUCCAGCAGCUCUGGAGGUCAGACCCAGCUGUGGAGAGAAUCAUUUCUAAAAAACUAGAAGGCACGUUG